UUUGUCAAGAAGACUACAUCUGUAUCAAAAUUAACUGGUUGCAGCUUUGUUUGGCUGUCUGUAGCUGUAUUACCUAGAUUACUACCUUGUUUACCUUGUCUUCGAAGCAGUUAACAGGACCAUUAGUUUCUCCUUGAACUUGUUUUCAUCUCUAAUGUCCAAAGGAAUCUAAAAUAGUUUGCAUUAUCUGGGAAUUUUUUAUUUUAGUAAAAGCUCAUAUGAUAGUUGUAGCUAUGAAGACUUGUCCAAGUAUUGGAUGUGAGUUAAAGAAGACAGCUAUUUGCUGAUGAUUCCUAUUUAUUGCAAGAUUUUCCACCUUUCCCUCCUCAAUUUUAACAUUUAGAAGUCCAAGAGGAGAGGGAGAAAAGAAUGAGGGAUUUAUUAGGCAAGUAAAUGAUUGGAUCUUUCUAAAUGGUGCCUUUUAUUGCCCUCUGUAGUUUGGAGAGGUCUUGUUAUGUUUAGUAGAGGAUGUAAAAGGCCUACAUUGUAAACUGGCAUGAACAAAUAUU
RNAcentral lists this long non-coding RNA (509 nucleotides) under Phoenix dactylifera (date palm). RNAcentral describes it as "long non-coding RNA (PDAC_LNC022358)". Lineage: Eukaryota; Viridiplantae; Streptophyta; Magnoliopsida; Arecales; Arecaceae. The record is from RNAcentral.